RNAcentral lists this small nucleolar RNA (63 nucleotides) under Penaeus chinensis. The record is from RNAcentral. Lineage: Eukaryota; Metazoa; Arthropoda; Malacostraca; Decapoda; Penaeidae.
GAUAUUGUGAUGAUAAAUACCGCCCCAGUCUGAUAGUCUGAUGAUGGUAAUCUCUGAAGUACA